Molecule: ribosomal RNA, 254 nt
Filed under: uncultured bacterium
Lineage: Bacteria
Description: partial 16S ribosomal RNA
Rfam family: Bacterial small subunit ribosomal RNA
Source: RNAcentral
UACAGAGGGGGCAAGCGUUGUUCGGAAUUACUGGGCGUAAAGGGCGCGUAGGCGGCCCGCUAAGUCGAACGUGAAAUCCCCGGGCUCAACCCGGGAACUGCGUCCGAUACUGGCAGGCUUGAAUUCGGGAGAGGGAUGUGGAGUUCCAGGUGUAGCGGUGAAAUGCGUAGAUAUCUGGAGGAACACCGGUGGCGAAGGCGGCCUGCUGGGCAGUGGCUGACGCUGAGGCGCGACAGCGUGGGGGAGCAAACAGG